AUUGAACGCUGGCGGCAUGCUUUACACAUGCAAGUCGAACGGAAACAGGCCGCAAGGGGCUGACGAGCGGCAGACGGGGGAGUAAGGCAUACGAACGUGCACCGUCGUUGGGAGUAACUAAUAAAAAGAGUAGAUAAGACCGCAUACGGGAUAAGGAAGAGAACGGGAGAGCGCAAUGGCGCGAGCGGGUGGAGCGGCCGCUGACAGAUUAGCUAGUGCGGGGGGUAACGGCUCACCAAGCCAACGAUCUGUAGCGGGUCUGAGAGGAUGAGCAGCCACACUGGGACUGAGACACGGUCCAGACUCCUACGGGAGGCAGCAGUGGGGAAUUUUCGACAAUGGGCGCAAGCCUGAUCCAGCAAUGCCGCGUGCAGGAAGAAGGCCUUCGGGUUGUAAACUGCUUUUAUACGGAACGAACCGGCUCUGGUUAAUCCCCGGGCGUAAUGACGGUACCGUAAGAAUAAGCACCGGCUAACUACGUG
This 482-nucleotide ribosomal RNA is filed under the name uncultured bacterium. RNAcentral's name for it is "partial 16S ribosomal RNA". It matches the Rfam family "Bacterial small subunit ribosomal RNA", at positions 29 to 507 of the family's 1533-position model. The record is from RNAcentral.